AUGCGAGUUGACAAAACAGCCAGAGAACAGGGCUCCCCAUUACAAUCUUUUCGAGCUCUUUUCCCUUGCUAACCGGAUCUGAUUUGUGCGAAAACGGGCCUCGCACUUGUACCUGGAGGAACUGGAGACAGUGGAUUCGACCUUUAGCAGCGGUCAUCUACCUGGUGUCAAUAGUGGUUGCGGUUCCCCUAUGCGUGUGGGAAUUACAGAAACUGGAGGUUGGAAUACACACCAAGGCUUGGUGUAUUGCUGGAAUCUUUUUGCUGUUGACUAUGCCUGUAUCACUGUGGGCGAUACUGCAACACUUAGUGCAUUAUACACAACCUGAACUACAAAAACCAAUAAUGAGGAUUCUUUGGAUGGUACCCAUUUACAGUUUAGAUAGUUGGGUAGCUUUGAAAUAUCCCGGAAUUGCAAUAUAUGUGGAUACCUGCAGAGAAUGCUAUGAAGCUUAUGUAAUUUACAACUUUAUGGGAUUCCUUACCAAUUAUCUAACUAACCGGUAUCCAGAUCUGGUAUUAAUCCUCGAAGCCAAAGAUCAGAAGAAACAUUUCCCUCCUUUAUGUUGCUGUCCACAAUGGGCUAUGGGAGAAGUAUUGCUGUUUAGGUGCAAACUAGGUGUAUUACAGUACACAGUUGUCAGACCUUCCACCACCAUCGUUGCUUUAAUCUGUGAGCUGCUUGGUAUAUAUGACGAAGGGAACUUUAGCUUUUCAAAUGCUUGGACUUAUUUGGUUAUAAUAAACAACAUGUCACAGGUGUUUGCCAUGUAUUGUUUCCUGCUCUUUCAUAAAGUACCAGAAGAAGAACUGAGCCCAACCUGUUGGCAAAUUUCUUUGUGUAACGCUGGUGGUUUUUGUUUCUUUUUGGCAAGCAGUUGUUAUUGCUUUGUUGGUAAAAGUUGGCAUUAUUUCUGAAAAGCAUACGUGGGAAUGGCAAACUGUAGAAGCUGUGGCCACCGGACUCCAGGAUUUUAUUAUCUGUAAUGAGAUGUUCCUCCCUGCCAUUGCUCAUCAUUACACAUUCUCAUAUAAACCAUAUGUCCAAGAAGCAGAAGAGGGCUCAUGCUUUGAUUCCUUUCUUGCCAUGUGGGAUGUCUCAGAUAUUAGAGAUGAUAUUUCUGAACAAGUAAGGCAUGUUGGACGGACAGUCAGGGGACAUCCCAGGAAAAAAUUGUUUCCCGAGGAUCAAGAUCAAAAUGAACAUACAAGCUUAUUAUCAUCAUCAUCACAAGAUGCAAUUUCCAUUGCUUCUUCUAUGCCACCUUCACCCAUGGGUCACUACCAAGGGUUUGGACACACUGUGACUCCCCAGACUACACCUACCACAGCUAAGAUAUCUGAUGAAAUACUCAGUGAUACUAUAGGAGAGAAAAAAGAACCUUCAGAUAAAUCCGUGGAUUCCUGA
Molecule: RNA transcript, 1407 nt
Organism: Nomascus leucogenys (northern white-cheeked gibbon)
Lineage: Eukaryota; Metazoa; Chordata; Mammalia; Primates; Hylobatidae
Gene name: transmembrane protein 184C pseudogene
Exons: 1
Source: RefSeq, a predicted model, not a curated record